GUCUUGUAUUAUCCUUGGCGGUGUAAAGCAAGUGUUGCAUUCUCUUUUGUUUGGAACAUUGGAGCAAAACAUGUUUUUUCUGCCUCCGGCCCCUACCACAGUGUAUUUACACAGACACUCUUCUUGGCAUUUGGACUGUAUUUUGGGCUUCUCUGUUUUCAUACCCUAAGUUUCUGGUCAUCGGUUCUCUAGUUAGCAUGAGCCUCCUUUCCUCAUCCAUUUCUUCUUCUUUCUUCUUUUUUGUUUGGUCCAGGCACGGCCAAAGCUAACAAGAGAACAGAGCAAUAGGUUUCUUAUUCUGAAGAGUGUCACAUUCCAGGCCUACCAUGAGCCUUUUUUCUGGAGGAAUUGCAAGUUAACAUUUGUCAAUGGGAUUGUUCUGAGAAGCUGGAUUAUUUGCCAACCACCUUCUGCCCAAGGAAGGAUUUUAAACACUAGCCCAGACACAGAUCAUAUCCCAACACAAACAUACCAUCUGAUUAUCUUCACACUCCAUGCUGGCCCUGUCCCCAGUGAAAGGUGAGUUUUAUUGCUGCACAGAAAGAUUUAAUACAGCAGUUUUAUAGUUGGCUUGUUCUUACCCAUGCUGGCUCUUGUGGUACCUGAUACAAUUCAGAGCCCUGAUACAACACAGCAGUUCCCACAAAAAUGGCAGU
Molecule: long non-coding RNA, 656 nt
Filed under: Pogona vitticeps (central bearded dragon)
Lineage: Eukaryota; Metazoa; Chordata; Lepidosauria; Squamata; Agamidae
Description: lncRNA (ENSPVIG00000010297.1)
Source: RNAcentral